GGACUACUCGGGUAUCUAAUCCUGUUUGCUCCCCUAGCUUUCGUUCCUCAGCGUCAGUUGCGGUCCAGCGAGCCGCCUUCGCCACGGGUGUUCCUACAGAUAUCUACGCAUUUCACCGCUACACCUGUAAUUCCACUCGCCUCUCCCGCACUCGAGCACGGCAGUUUCGGAAGCAGCCUCUGAGUUAAGCCCAGAGAUUUCACUCCCGACACACCGCACCGCCUACGAACCCUUUACGCCCAGUAAUUCCGAGCAACGCUGGCCCCCUACGUCUUACCGCGGCGGCUGGCAC
Molecule: ribosomal RNA, 292 nt
Filed under: uncultured Acidobacteriota bacterium
Lineage: Bacteria; Pseudomonadati; Acidobacteriota
Description: uncultured Acidobacteria bacterium partial 16S ribosomal RNA
Source: RNAcentral